UCGCCUGUUUACCAAAAACAUCGCCUCUUGCAAAGCUAAAGAAUAAGAGGUCCCGCCUGCCCUGUGACUAUUAGUUUAACGGCCGCGGUAUUUUGACCGUGCAAAGGUAGCGCAAUCACUUGUCUUUUAAAUGAAGACCUGUAUGAAUGGCACAACGAGGGCUUAACUGUCUCCUCUUUCAAGUCAAUGAAAUUGAUCUCCCCGUGCAGAAGCGGGGAUAUAAACAUAAGACGAGAAGACCCUAUGGAGCUUUAGACACCAAAGAAGAUCCUGUCAAGUAACCCCUUACAAGGGCCUGAACUAAUGGAAUCCUUCCCUAAUGUCUUUGGUUGGGGCGACCGCGGGGAAACAAAAAACCCCCACGUGGAAAGGGAGCACCCCCUCCUACAACUAAGAGCCGCAGCUCUAAUUAACAGAAUAUCUGACCAAUAAGAUCCGGCAAUGCCGAUCAACGGACCGAGUUACCCUAGGGAUAACAGCGCAAUCCCCUUUUAGAGCCCAUAUCGACAAGGGGGUUUACGACCUCGAUGUUGGAUCAGGACAUCCUAAUGGUGCAGCCGCUAUUAAGGGUCCGUUUGUUCAACGGUUAAAGUCCUACGUGAUCUGAGUUCAGACCRGA
RNAcentral lists this ribosomal RNA (619 nucleotides) under Sebastes crameri (darkblotched rockfish). RNAcentral's name for it is "partial 16S ribosomal RNA". It matches the Rfam family "Bacterial large subunit ribosomal RNA", at positions 1796 to 2620 of the family's 2925-position model. Lineage: Eukaryota; Metazoa; Chordata; Actinopteri; Perciformes; Sebastidae. The record is from RNAcentral.